UACCGAGGUCUCAAGCGUUGUUCGGAUUCAUUGGGCGUAAAGGGUGCGUAGGCGGCGCGGUAAGUCUGGUGUGAAAUCUUGGAGCUUAACUCCGAAACUGCAUUCGAUACUGCCGUGCUUGAGGACUGGAGAGGAGACUGGAAUUUACGGUGUAGCGGUGAAAUGCGUAGAUAUCGUAAGGAAGACCAGUGGCGAAGGCGGGUCUCUGGACAGUUCCUGACGCUGAGGCACGAAGGCCAGGGGAGCAAACGGG
This 253-nucleotide ribosomal RNA is filed under the name uncultured bacterium. RNAcentral's name for it is "partial 16S ribosomal RNA". It matches the Rfam family "Bacterial small subunit ribosomal RNA", at positions 524 to 776 of the family's 1533-position model. The record is from RNAcentral.